This 260-nucleotide long non-coding RNA is filed under the name Mytilus galloprovincialis (Mediterranean mussel). The record is from RNAcentral. Lineage: Eukaryota; Metazoa; Mollusca; Bivalvia; Mytilida; Mytilidae.
UGUUUCAUGCACAAAUGCUUGAAUGUUGACGUAUAUUUUCGUUUACGGCUUUAUCAAGUGUGUAGAAUCUAGACGCUACCGUGUUUUUACCUCCAAAUUGAAGAGUUCAAGUGCUACCAUUGGUCAAGAAUAAUGUAUACCGAAUGGGCGUGACUUUAAUCUUCCGAUAGAUGGCGCAACAUUGUUUUCACAAAUGUUGGAUUAAUCUGCCAAGGGUGAAGAGAACGGGAGUGGAUCGUAACCCUUGACUAGCGAAGAUG